Molecule: ribosomal RNA, 493 nt
Filed under: uncultured bacterium
Lineage: Bacteria
Description: partial 16S ribosomal RNA
Rfam family: Bacterial small subunit ribosomal RNA
Source: RNAcentral
GACGAACGCUGGCGGUGUGCUUAACACAUGCAAGUGGUGCGACGAACCAGAGCUUGCUCUGGGGCAAAGCCGCGAACGGGUGAGUAACACGUGGGUAAUCUACCCCGAUGACCGGGACAACCCGAGGAAACUCGGGCUAAUACCGGAUGUGGUGCGGAGACAUAAGUCUCUUCACUAAAGGUAGCUUCGGCUUCCGCAUUGGGAGGGGCCCGCGGCCCAUUAGCUUGUUGGUGGGGUCAAGGCCUACCAAGGCAACGAUGGGUAGCUGGUCUGAGAGGACGAUCAGCCACACUGGGACUGAGACACGGCCCAGACUCCUACGGGAGGCAGUAGUGGGGAAUCUUGCGCAAUGCGCGAAAGCGUGACGCAGCAACACCGCGUGAGGGAAGAAGGCCUUAGGGUUGUAAACCUCUUUCAGAUGGGACGAAGGUUCUCCGGUGAAUAGCCGAGAGGAUUGACGGUACCGUCAGAAGAAGCUCCGGCUAACUACGUG